RNAcentral lists this transfer RNA (71 nucleotides) under Candidatus Omnitrophota bacterium. RNAcentral describes it as "Candidatus Omnitrophica bacterium tRNA-Asp". It matches the Rfam family "tRNA". Rfam says of the family: Transfer RNA (tRNA) molecules are approximately 80 nucleotides in length. Their secondary structure includes four short double-helical elements and three loops (D, anti-codon, and T loops). Further hydrogen bonds mediate the characteristic L-shaped molecular structure. tRNAs have two regions of fundamental functional importance: the anti-codon, which is responsible for specific mRNA codon recognition, and the 3' end, to which the tRNAs corresponding amino acid is attached (by aminoacyl-tRNA synthetases). tRNAs cope with the degeneracy of the genetic code in two manners: having more than one tRNA (with a specific anti-codon) for a particular amino acid; and 'wobble' base-pairing, i.e. permitting non-standard base-pairing at the 3rd anti-codon position. Lineage: Bacteria; Pseudomonadati; Candidatus Omnitrophota. The record is from RNAcentral.
GGCUAUGGCCUAGUCUAGUUUAGGGCGUCUCCCUGUCACGGAGAAGAUCACGGGUGCGAAUCCCGUUAGCC